Long non-coding RNA from Tripterygium wilfordii, 557 nucleotides. RefSeq lists it as uncharacterized. The transcript has 4 exons. The record is from RefSeq and is a predicted model, not a curated record. NCBI's taxonomy places the organism in Eukaryota, Viridiplantae, Streptophyta, Magnoliopsida, Celastrales, Celastraceae.
CCUUGUUGUUGAUAUCGACUUGAUUCCUCCUACUGCCUUCAUUUUUCUUCUGAAGGCACCAAUGCUGAAGUAGGAAGUCGUGGCACUUGGCUCAAGGUGAGGGAGAAGGACUAGAAACCAUUACCUGAAAGCUUGAAGAUGGAGUAAAAGCAAAGAAGGAACAAUUUAAGGAACAAAUGCUUGUGUGUCCACUUCCUAAUGUCCGUGAGCUAAAGAUGCUAUCUUGAGAAUUUGUGGGGAUAAGACCCGUAGGCCAAUUUAUACUAAAAUGGUGAAACGGUUGCAAAAGUAGUGAAACAGUUGCAUUAGCCCAUGAUUAAAGCCCAAGUUCAAUGCUUGUAUAAUGAUGAAUUCAAGACCAAUAAGGAAAAGAAGACUUGUUGCUUAAGAAAGAGUAGAGAAAAUAUAGGAGGUGGUGAUUAACUAUCAAGUGUGUGACGCUAGUGCUCGAGGGAGCAAGGUGUAUUCUAACAACAUUUCAGGUGAGUGGAUAAUGCCUUUAAUAAUACAUUGUUUGACUCGAUAAAUAUUUCGACAGUAAAUUCCAUAUAUCUUGU